RNAcentral lists this ribosomal RNA (429 nucleotides) under Gemmatimonadota bacterium. Its description in RNAcentral is "Gemmatimonadetes bacterium partial 16S ribosomal RNA". It matches the Rfam family "Bacterial small subunit ribosomal RNA", at positions 355 to 776 of the family's 1533-position model. The record is from RNAcentral. Lineage: Bacteria; Pseudomonadati; Gemmatimonadota.
UAGGGAAUCUUCGGCAAUGGACGAAAGUCUGACCGAGCAACGCCGCGCGAGUGAAGAAGGUUUUCGGAUCGUAAAACUCUGUUGUUAGAGAAGAACAAGGACGUUAGUAACUGAACGUCCCCUGACGGUAUCUAACCAGAAAGCCACGGCUAACUACGUGCCAGCAGCCGCGGUAAUACGUAGGUGGCAAGCGUUGUCCGGAUUUAUUGGGCGUAAAGCGAGCGCAGGCGGUUUCUUAAGUCUGAUGUGAAAGCCCCCGGCUCAACCGGGGAGGGUCAUUGGAAACUGGGAGACUGGAGUGCAGAAGAGGAGAGUGGAAUUCCAUGUGUAGCGAUGAAAUGCGUAGAUAUAUGGAGGAACACCAGUGGCGAAGGCGGCUCUCUGGUCUGUAACUGACGCUGAGGCUCGAAAGCGUGGGGAGCAAACAGG